GGAAGGGUGGCAGAGUGGUUUAAUGCACCGGUCUUGAAAAUCGGAGAUGUCGUAAGGCAUCCGUGGGUUCGAAUCCCUCCCCUUCCG
RNAcentral lists this transfer RNA (87 nucleotides) under Planctomycetota bacterium. RNAcentral's name for it is "tRNA-Ser". It matches the Rfam family "tRNA". From Rfam's summary of the family: Transfer RNA (tRNA) molecules are approximately 80 nucleotides in length. Their secondary structure includes four short double-helical elements and three loops (D, anti-codon, and T loops). Further hydrogen bonds mediate the characteristic L-shaped molecular structure. tRNAs have two regions of fundamental functional importance: the anti-codon, which is responsible for specific mRNA codon recognition, and the 3' end, to which the tRNAs corresponding amino acid is attached (by aminoacyl-tRNA synthetases). tRNAs cope with the degeneracy of the genetic code in two manners: having more than one tRNA (with a specific anti-codon) for a particular amino acid; and 'wobble' base-pairing, i.e. permitting non-standard base-pairing at the 3rd anti-codon position. Lineage: Bacteria; Pseudomonadati; Planctomycetota. The record is from RNAcentral. RNAcentral also lists the same sequence under 1 other name.